This 253-nucleotide ribosomal RNA is filed under the name uncultured bacterium. RNAcentral's name for it is "partial 16S ribosomal RNA". It matches the Rfam family "Bacterial small subunit ribosomal RNA", at positions 524 to 776 of the family's 1533-position model. The record is from RNAcentral.
UACAGAGGGUGCAAGCGUUGUUCGGAAUUAUUGGGCGUAAAGGGCGCGUAGGCGGUGCUAUAAGUCUGUGGUGAAAGCCCAGAGCUCAACUCUGGAAUUGCCUUUGAGACUGUGAGGCUUGAGUACGGGAGAGGUGAGUGGAAUUCCCAGUGUAGAGGUGAAAUUCGUAGAUAUUGGGAAGAACACCGGUGGCGAAGGCGGCUCACUGGCCCGAAACUGACGCUCAUGCACGACAGCGUGGGGAUCAAACAGG